GAAGUAUAAAAAAUUAAGCUUCUAACUUAAUAAUUAGCAUUUAUGUUAAUACUUCU
This 56-nucleotide transfer RNA is filed under the name Nephus voeltzkowi. RNAcentral describes it as "tRNA-Ser". Lineage: Eukaryota; Metazoa; Arthropoda; Insecta; Coleoptera; Coccinellidae. The record is from RNAcentral. RNAcentral also lists the same sequence under 1 other name.